AGCUGCAAAGAGUCUUUUUUCUCAUGAGAAUUAACUGGAGCACUGCCUUUUGGUAAGGAUGGAUGAAGUCAUGGUAUCCGCUCUCAUAAGGUGUGCACCAUUCUCUUCUGAGAAAAAAAGAUAGGAGGGAGAAGCUAGAAGAUUGGUGAAGAAGAUCAUGGUCAUGUUUUUCUCUGAUGUGCUUUUGAGAAUAAAAUCACCUUUCCUGGCCAAAUCUAGUGGGGUCAACUGAUCCCACUGCCUAUGCAAUUAGCUCUGUCCCUGCAAGCAGCUCAAUUUUUCUGUGCAGAAUAUGUGGCUCAUGCAGCUUUACAGAAGAUCACCAGAAUCGGAUUCGACCUGCUCUUCGCCCAUGAAGGGACUUGACUUGCAGCCGACCCCGACGCACGCUACGCCAGGAGGUCACAACUCAAAGGUUAAUUCUGUUACGGUUUACCAAAUCUGUAGCAAUCAAACCAUUUACCGUGUGCUCUGAAUUUUUUUUUACAAUGGGUUUUCGGUCAAUAAAUGCAGGCGAAUUGAAACAUGGUAUAUUGAUAUUUUGUUUCUCCAGGCUAUGAUUAAGCGUCCGGGAUCUUUAUAAUAACGAAUAUAGGGCAAGACAAACCACUACCGUGGGGAAAAAGACUACAACGGACUACUCGCGGGGUGUAGCAUGCAAAUCCCGGGAUCCUUUGUCAUGACCUUGAUGCCUUGACAACCUUCAGGAGCUCCCCUCCAAACAAAACGUUGGCAAUGAAGGUGGAAAGAUCCUUGUCCACGCCUACUACUGCAUGCACUCUGGCUGCUUUCGGACGGCUCGGGUACUACAGUCGAGCAACUAAUGACGCGUGAAUGACCUUCCAAAGAAGAUCGUGUUGUUGUUCCUGUGGUCCUAUAUUAAGCGCAGCAACAACGAGUAUCUUAGUUAAUAAGAGGCUUUCAUAAAAUUGGCAUGGAUUUUUAUGCUAUGCAUAUUUGCAUCACCUGACUUGGGAUGGCCGGAUGGGAUAAAGUGUGGCUGUAAGAAAGGACCUACCUGUCAUCAAUGAAGAAAAUAAUUGUGUAUGUGCCGAGAGACAUUUGGUAGUCUUGGUUCACAAGAUAUUUAAUAAUAAUUUCUUAUUUAGCACUAGAUAUUGCUCGCCAUGAAACUAAAAAAACUAAAUCUGAUUCAAUACACAUAUAUUUGCUUUA
Molecule: long non-coding RNA, 1176 nt
Organism: Lolium rigidum
Lineage: Eukaryota; Viridiplantae; Streptophyta; Magnoliopsida; Poales; Poaceae
Exons: 9
Source: RefSeq, a predicted model, not a curated record